AAUCUCCUCAUAUUUCCCUCUCAGUUUUAAUUUUUCAUUUUCAUCUUCCCACCAAAAUCUCACAGCCUCGUAAAAUGCCCUAAUUAAGAAUAUUUCCUCACGAUCCAUCUCUUCUCUCUGUGAUUUCUUCUUCUUCUCUAUCUUUGGCUCGUUACUUCCUAAUCACCAUUUUGUAUCGUAACACAUUGUUACAAGGGCUUCAAACCAGGACUAACAUGUCUUUGUUUCUAAGUUUAAUUCUAAAGGUUUAAAGAUGCACACCAACUGUUUGAUGUAAUGCUUCAACAAAGUUUUGCAGAUUACUGGCCUCUUUCGUGUGAUAUGGACUUACCCAGUAUGUUGGGAGGGUUGAGAAGGUUGAUAGGCGGUGAAAGAAGAGUGGGUGCUGGUGGUGAUCGGACAAUUCACGAUUGAGAAUUUGAUUCAGUAUGACGCAAUUAGUCCAUCCAUUGUAAUGGCUGGCUUACAUCCUAUUAAUUAUGCGUGUCUAUCUUAUCACGAGUAAAAAGGUGGUGGAGCAAUACAAGUUGGGAUAAGAAGUUACCCUUUGCUGGUGCAGAUUGGUGGGGAGUGUUUUAUGUGGACAUAGCUGGGUUCGAGGCGUGGACAUACUCAAGGUAUUGAGCCUAAACCACGACUCAAAUUUUGAUUUUGGGUAAGGUAUAUGAAAGCGGUCUGUUGAUAUUUUUGUUUGUGUUAGGUCCGGCUCUUGCUUCUAAGGCGUUUCGUUUUCAAUUUCGGUCAAUUACUCCUCCUGGUGUUAUAAAUGGAACGCAUGUAUUUUUUAUUCCUAUGUGCAAAAAAGUGACUCUUCUAUAAAUUGUGUUAAUCUAGAUGUUAUAGGUGGCACAAUGGGCAGACCGGGUAACAGGUCAAAAUGGGUUCCGAGUGGCAAGAGGUGUACAAUAAAAGCCGGUUUUAGGGCCGAAACCGGAACCGGUUAUGCUAGUUUGGGUUCCCAUCGUGAAAACCGGUUAAAAAGCCGAACAUAUUUUUUUAAAACCGGUUUUUUCUCGCACAACAAUAACCUGUUCGGUUAAAAACCGACCGGUUAGAAAAAAACCGAUUUGUAGACUUCUCUACGGGUGGCCUGCAAACACUUUUAUGUCUAUUUUCUUAAAAAGUGUAAUAACUAACUAACGCGUUUUUAAGUAAGAAUACAAUUUGAUACUAAUUAUUAUAAAUUGAAUAUAUAUUUCUUAUAUCAGUUAAAAAUUGUAUAAGCUCGUUUAAGCUCGGAUCGUUUCAAGCUCUUUUUCGAAUCGAUCUUGAGUAGCUCAGCUCAUUUACAUCUCUAUCGACCACCCAUUAUUCCUCACGAUCCUCAUAAUUUUCUGUUAACUUAAUAUAAUAGUGGACUGGGAAAAACAUCAUAUCCGUGACACUAAUAUGGUGAGGCGAUUCUAAUUGCUUUUGAAGAAUGCCAAGCUUCAUCAGCUCAUUAUAGAACAUAAAAACAAAUAUUUAUGUGUAUGCUCCUCAACAGGAGUGGCUUUAUUUUCACUUGAAAGUUUAUCCCUUUUUACUCUUAGCUUGCCUUUUCUUCUCGGUUUUCUUUUUGUUCACUUUUUCUGUUUUGCAGAUUGAGCCAAUCCCAAGCAGAAAUCUGCCUCCUAGGUUUGAACCAAAUACUUCUCGCAGUGUGAGCGGUUUACAUAUGAUUUUUUAGUUUGUUAUUAUGCCUUAGUAUGUCCCUGGUAACCAAGUAAGUGUUUUUAUAAUUUGCUAUAUCUUACCAAUUUGUUUUUCUCGUCCCCCAAUACACACAGUACUGAGGUUUAUAGUUGUGAUAUGCAAAUGUGUUAAAUGUAGGAUGGCUCUAUGUUUUAUGUCUACUGGAAAUUGUGUAUUAUUCUGUAGCUAAAUGUGUUUUCUUUUUAAUUUCUACUUUUAUUUUUGAGAAAAUGCUGGUACGUUGGGAACAUCCAUAUACAGAUGACGGGACAAUUUCUUCAGGAGGUUUUUGCAAGCUAAAGUUGUGAAAAGCAGUCGUUUGAAACUCAUUAAGUGAAUAAAGAGGAUCAUGAAAGAAAAAAAGUUGACCUUGAAGCUAUACGACAGGAUCUUGAUAUCCGGCGACAAGACUUGGAAGAUCUGUGUGGAAUGUUACGAAACAACUACAAGUUGAAGAUCAAGAUGUGUAGAAUGUUUUAGUUACUCUUUAUUAUUGUAAUUGACACUUUGGUAUUGACUUUUUUGUUAUUUGAGUUUGUAAAAGUAUGUUAAGGUAGGUACACUAUUUGACUAGCAAUGAUAUUUGUGUUAAUAUUG
Molecule: long non-coding RNA, 2271 nt
Organism: Helianthus annuus (common sunflower)
Lineage: Eukaryota; Viridiplantae; Streptophyta; Magnoliopsida; Asterales; Asteraceae
Exons: 4
Source: RefSeq, a predicted model, not a curated record